UACGUAGGGGGCAAGCGUUGUUCGGAUUUACUGGGCGUAAAGGGCGCGUAGGCGGCGCGUAAAGUCGGAAAUGAAAUCAUUGGGCUUAAACCAAUGGCUGUGCCCGAUACUUGCGUGCUUAGAGUGCGGGAGAGGCAAUCGGAAUUCUCGGUGUAGCGGUGAAAUGCGUAGAUAUCGAGAGGAACUCCAGUGACGAAGGUGGGUUGCUGGACCGACACUGACGCUGAGGCGCGAAAGCUAGGGGAGCAAACGGG
RNAcentral lists this ribosomal RNA (254 nucleotides) under uncultured bacterium. RNAcentral describes it as "partial 16S ribosomal RNA". It matches the Rfam family "Bacterial small subunit ribosomal RNA", at positions 524 to 776 of the family's 1533-position model. The record is from RNAcentral.